UAAUACGUAGGGGGCGAGCGUUGUCCGAAGUUACUGGGCGUAAAGAGCGCGUAGGCGGGUCUUUAAGUGAGAGGUGAAAGGUUCAGGGCUCAACCCGAACACUGCCUUUCAUACUGGGGAUCUUGAGUGCGGGAGAGGCGAGUGGAAUGGUCGGUGUAGCGGUGAAAUGCGUAGAUAUCGAUCGGAACACCCAUGGCGAAGGCAGCUCGCUGGCCUGCAACUGACGCUGAGGCGCGAAAGCGUGGGGAGCAAACAGGAUUAGAUACCCUGGUAGUCCACGCCGUAAACGAUGAGUGCUAGGUGUAAGGGGUAUCGACCCCCCUUGUGCCGCAGCUAACGCAAUAAGCACUCCGCCUGGGGAGUACGGCCGCAAGGUUG
This 378-nucleotide ribosomal RNA is filed under the name uncultured bacterium. RNAcentral describes it as "bacterial SSU rRNA". It matches the Rfam family "Bacterial small subunit ribosomal RNA", at positions 521 to 896 of the family's 1533-position model. The record is from RNAcentral.